This 84-nucleotide non-coding RNA is filed under the name unclassified sequences. Its description in RNAcentral is "DUF3800-I RNA". It matches the Rfam family "DUF3800-I RNA", at positions 1 to 81 of the family's 115-position model. From Rfam's summary of the family: Actinobacteria, Firmicutes, Fusobacteria, Proteobacteria (1 example), Tenericutes (2 examples). Terminator (Clostridia) The record is from Rfam by way of RNAcentral.
UUCGAGUACAGGGAGUGGAGUCCGCUGUAUACUCGCGUCACCGAACGAAAGACUUACGCGGUAUGUAACGCCGCCGGCCGCGGG